GCCCCACUUCCCCCCUCGGCCUCCCGCCCCUGGACUCCAGGGCUGUGAGCCGGAAGCCGGGAGGGACAAAAGCGAGCAGGAAGAGGAAGACGAGGCUUCCCAGAGGUACCAGAAAGUGGAAGCCCAGUUUUCUCCACCAUGGGCUGAGAAAUUAGAUGAAAAUGAAGCUGUAUAGCCCCGGAUAUAGUUGUGUUCGUUAUAACGUCACAAGAGAUUUAAGAGAACUGGAAAAUAACAUUGUCAGAAUGGAACACAUGGCUGAACCAAGCCUGAGGAAGAACAGGGUGCCACACAGUAACAGGACGUCAUUGAGAACUAUAUUCUUCCAGACCGAUGUUGUCUUGAAAUAAUCAACUAUAUUACUUGUCCAUCAGCCGUUUAUUUCUUUGUAGCACAGGACAUGAAAACACUGAGGAAAAUUAGGUAUGAACCAACCCACCUUCUAUAAUAUUGCAACAUUACUCCCCAGUUUAACAUGUGAGCUGAUGUGUAUUAUAAAAAGCUGUUCUAGGCCAGCUGUGGUGGUGCAGGGCUUCACAAUACUGGGCCUACAUGCAAAGGACCUAAGUUUGUGUAACAAGGCCUCCUGUACAUGCCGGGUGUGCAAGUUACCCAUGUCCACGAUCUUAGCUGGCUGAAGCUGGCAUUUGAGCU
Molecule: long non-coding RNA, 654 nt
Organism: Tupaia belangeri chinensis (Chinese tree shrew)
Lineage: Eukaryota; Metazoa; Chordata; Mammalia; Scandentia; Tupaiidae
Exons: 3
Source: RefSeq, a predicted model, not a curated record